AACGUACAAAUACCUGUAUCUCUUCCUCCUCAAUUGUGGUGAACCCCCUCUAUACAUCUCAUUGCCCGCACCUGCUAAAAUCAAGUGGAUCUGGCCUCCACUGAUUGAAAGUGCAGCAGUCAAUACCUCCUGUCCGCGUCAGGUUCGCCUUCGUUAUUUUCUUGGCAGCUUGUUCUGCCAGGUUUUUUGAGCUUUUUAAACAUAAAUUGACCAUUACAUGUAAAUAAGGAACAGAAGUAUCAUGCAAGCCCUGAUGAAGCACAUCUAGUGCGAAACUAGUUGGCAAUAUCGCAUCUACUUUUCUUCUGAUUAUAACCUUCAUUUCCUUUUUGUAUAAAUCAUGUAAAUUUGGUCGUGAUCAUGUAUUUUUCACUUUGCUAACCUAUUUUAUGAAAUGUGAAACUUUAUAUUUAUAUAAUUAAAUUAUUUUUGAUAU
Molecule: long non-coding RNA, 436 nt
Organism: Rana temporaria (common frog)
Lineage: Eukaryota; Metazoa; Chordata; Amphibia; Anura; Ranidae
Exons: 2
Source: RefSeq, a predicted model, not a curated record